Molecule: non-coding RNA, 604 nt
Organism: Pelodiscus sinensis (Chinese soft-shelled turtle)
Lineage: Eukaryota; Metazoa; Chordata; Testudines; Trionychidae
Source: RefSeq, a predicted model, not a curated record
CGUUCUUACCGGUCGUGCCGCUGCGCAGGCUCAGCUGUUACGUGGGGGGAACUUCAGGCACUACUCCGCCCCGGGUGUGAAAUGACAUAUCCCCAUUUCCCAUGCCUGCGUCAAUUCUUCCCCUGCCCACCCGGGCCUCUCCUUUUCCUCUGCUGCUCCUUUGGUGUGUAACGUGCCAGGGUCAGGUGCACUGUCAGCGCCUCCUUGUCCAGGUACCGCUGUCUCUCCGGCAGUGGAGAGAGUUCUUGCAUAAAGUCUUGGCCCUCAGCAUAGUGUCAUUACGGGGAAAAAUAAGACCAAGCAAGUUGGCUCAACAAGACACAUUUUCAGGAGGCCUCUGCAUCUUCUCAUAGCCAUGAAGCAGAACACUCGGCGGUCUUGCUGGCCUUUAACUCAAAGCCUUUACGUUCCGGGGAAAAACAAGUGUCUAACCUAAAAACCACGACUGGAUUGCUAAGCGCUCGACCCGUUUCCAGCUAUUAAAAUCCACCGUCGGAGUGGUCCGUCACCACUUCGCAGCUCUGUGCGAGGAAGGGAUGUUUUCCUCCCUGAAGCAGGGUGAAUCUGGUGAGCAAACAGAGAUAAUAAAAACAUUCCUGCCCAA